Molecule: ribosomal RNA, 479 nt
Filed under: uncultured bacterium
Lineage: Bacteria
Description: bacterial SSU rRNA
Rfam family: Bacterial small subunit ribosomal RNA
Source: RNAcentral
UUAUGGCUCAGGACGAACGCUGGCGGCGUGCUUAACACAUGCAAGUUGAACGGUAUGACAUGGAAGCUUGCUGAAGUGUCAUAUAGUAGCGGACGGGUGAGUAAUGCAUGAGAAGCUGCCAUUGGGAGGGGGACAACAGUUGGAAACGGCUGCUAAUACCCCGUAUGCCGGAAGGUGAAAGGGAGCGAUCCGCCCGAUGAGGUGCUCAUGUCCUAUCAGCUGGUUGGUGGGGUAACGGCCUACCAAGGCGACGACGGGUAGCCGGCCUGAGAGGGUGAACGGCCACACUGGAACUGAGAUACGGUCCAGACUCCUACGGGAGGCAGCAGUGGGGAAUAUUGGGCAAAUGGGGGCAACCCUGACCCAGCGACGCCGCGUGGGGGAAGACGGCCUUCGGGUUGUAAACCUCUUUUGUACGGGAAGAAGGAAGUGACGGUACUGUACGAAUAAGUCCCGGCUAACUACGUGCCAGCAGCCGC